RNAcentral lists this non-coding RNA (27 nucleotides) under Mus musculus (house mouse). The record is from RNAcentral. Lineage: Eukaryota; Metazoa; Chordata; Mammalia; Rodentia; Muridae.
UGCAUCUUUGAAAAAGUCCCCUCGUCC